This 226-nucleotide microRNA precursor is filed under the name Oryza glumipatula. RNAcentral's name for it is "MIR812 microRNA precursor family". It matches the Rfam family "MIR812 microRNA precursor family". Lineage: Eukaryota; Viridiplantae; Streptophyta; Magnoliopsida; Poales; Poaceae. The record is from Rfam by way of RNAcentral.
UUUAAGCGCAGCCAUGAGUUUUCGUGUCUAACUUUGAUCGUCCAUUUUAUUUAAAAUUUUUUUAUGAUUAAUAUUUUUUUAUUAUUAAAAGAUAAAACAUGAAUAAUCCUUUUUUUUAUUGUACAUGAAUAAUCCUUUAGUGGUGACUUAUGUUUUUAAUUUUUUUAAAAAAAACCAGAUAAGAUAAACGUUUAAAGUUAGAAAAAAAAAUAUUGUUGCGCGACGG